AUAGCGUAUAUUAAGUUGCUGCAGUUAAAAAGCUCGUAGUUGGAUUUCUGGCCUGAAACAUUUAGCCGGCCACGGUUUCGUGUGUNNNNNNNNNNNGUUCUGGCCAUCCUUUCUAUCGCUAUUUACCUUUCUUCAUUGAUUGGUAAGUGGUAUAGAAUCUUUUACUUUGAAAAAAUUAGAGUGUUUCAAGCAGGCUUUAUGCUAUGAAUACAUUAGCAUGGAAUAAUAAUUUAGGACUUCGGUUCUAUUUUGUUGGUUUCUAGGACUGAAGUAAUGAUUGAUAGGGACAGUUGGGGGUGCUAGUAUUCAGCGGCCAGAGGUGAAAUUCUCGGAUUCGCUGAAGACUAACUUAUGCGAAAGCAUUCACCAAGGAUGUCUUCUUUAAUCAAGAACGAAAGUUGGGGGAUCGAAGACGAUCAGAUACCGUCGUAGUCUCAACCAUAAACUAUGCCGACUAGGGAUGAGUGAACGUUGCAUUUUCGACUUCAUUCGCACCUUAUGAGAAAUCAAAGUCUUUGGGUUCCGGGGGGAGUAUGGUCGCAAGGCUGAAACUUAAAGGAAUUGACGGAAGGGCACCACCAGGAGUGGAGCCUGCGGCUUAAUUUGACUCAACACGGGAAAACUUACCAGGUCCAGACACAGUAAGGAUUGACAGAUUGAAGAUCUUUCUUGAUUCUA
This 678-nucleotide precursor RNA is filed under the name uncultured Cercozoa. Its description in RNAcentral is "partial 18S ribosomal RNA". It matches the Rfam family "Eukaryotic small subunit ribosomal RNA", at positions 594 to 1270 of the family's 1831-position model. The record is from RNAcentral. Lineage: Eukaryota; Cercozoa.